ACUGGUUGUUGGAUUCUCUUGCGUGGAUUUUUCAAAUAUGAACCUCUACCGCAAAACUCUGGACGAAAUGGGGGAAUCAGGCCAUACAUUUUAUGGCGUGUUGCGAUACACUCAACGUUGUAGGCCACCCUUAAUGAUCCUAGAGAACGUCUGCGGAGCCCCGUGGGGCCAUAUCAAGGAUGCUUUCAAGGAAAUUGAUUACCACGCCUAUCACAUUAAAGUAGACACAAAAAACUACUACCUGCCACAAACUCGUGAGAGAGGAUAUAUGCUCUGCAUAGACCAAACCAGACUUGAAACUCUACCUCCUGCAGACUCUAAAUCAUCCGCAUUUGCGAAGAUGAUGAAAAACUUUGAACGCCCUGCGAGUUCCCCCGUCACGCAAUUCUUACUUAAAAACGAUGACCCUCGUUUGCUGGACGCCAUCGAUGAUAUAUCCUGCAACACAACCAAGGACCGCCAGGCCGUUGAUUGGACUCGGUACAAAGCACGUCACCUUCGGUAUAGAAUGAGGGAAGGACUUGGGGAUAAAAGACCUCUUACUCGUUGGCAGGACAACGGUAGCUGUCAAAUGCCUGACUUCUAUUGGCGCAGAUGGAGCAAAGUGCAGACCGAACGUGUUUGGGAUACGCUUGACGUAAAUUACCUGCGGAGCAUAAUCAGAGGUUUUGAUAUCAACUUCAAAUCCCGGAUCAUCGACCUUUCUCAGGGGCUUGACAGGGAGCUGGACCAGCGUGCAUCCGGGGUUUCUGGUUGUUUGACUCCACGGGGUCAACACUUUGUCACUUCGCGGGGUGGCCCUCUCUUAGGUAUCGAGGCGUUGGCUCUGCAGGGGAUUCCUAUCGAUAGGUUACUGUUAGGCAAUGACAGUCAACGAGAUCUCAACGAUCUUGCAGGCAACGCGAUGAGCUCAACUGUUGUAGGGGUGGCGAUUAUGAGUGCUUUGAUUGUAGGAUACCAGGCUCUUGCGCCUGGCAAAACUGGCGGAAGUAACUCCAAAAACGAAGAACACUUUAUAACUCAGAUGCAAGUUGCUGACAAUGACACUGUGGAGCUGGUCCCCGUUCAUUCGGGGGACGAAAUUGUGCUAUCUACACACGAGGUUUUCGAAAUCGGAAAGCGAAGUUCGAGAAUGUGUAUUUGUGAAGGCCAAGCAUUGACGAAAAGAACCGACAUGUUGAUAUGCUUGAAAUGCGGGUUUACUGCAUGCAAAUCAUGUGGACGCAAUCCUCCACAUGUAUAUUGUCCAAUUCCCAAGGAUGAAUUGAAUGCGCGGGUGUCCCCAAUAAAUUUCGAGACCCAAUUGAAGCAAAAGCUACCGAUGAGACUUCAAGUUAACGGACUAUCCCUUGCGUUAUACCGAGAACUAAAGCAAGACGAUCUGCCGGUUGACGUUUCAUCGACGUGGGAUGAUUUUUUCAAAGUCCUUCUUCCAGCAC
This 1439-nucleotide small RNA is filed under the name Histoplasma capsulatum var. duboisii H88. RNAcentral describes it as "Histoplasma capsulatum H88 hypothetical RNA". Lineage: Eukaryota; Fungi; Ascomycota; Eurotiomycetes; Onygenales; Ajellomycetaceae. The record is from RNAcentral.